This 144-nucleotide ribosomal RNA is filed under the name uncultured eukaryote. Its description in RNAcentral is "partial 18S ribosomal RNA". It matches the Rfam family "Eukaryotic small subunit ribosomal RNA", at positions 1299 to 1458 of the family's 1831-position model. The record is from RNAcentral.
UGGUGGAGUGAUUUGUCUGGUUAAUUCCGAUAACGAACGAGACUCUAGCCUGCUAAAUAGACGAGCAAUCCCUUGUGGGUUGACUCGAUUUGCUUCUUAGAGGGACAAGUGGCGUUUCUAGCCACGCGAAAUUGAGCAAUAACA